UUUGAAAAUAUAUACUUGAGCAUGUGUAUUUUGCUAUCUUAUUGGGGUAACAUAGAGCCAAAUGGGGCAAGGUUGGCGUAUCAUCAUCUGAUGAAAGUACAGCACUGCCGCUGUUUCCACACUAAGAAUACUCAUAACCUAUCCCAACCUGAGUGGACAUAUAAAUUCAGAGGGAAAAAUCACAAACUAUACUAUACCGAUACAGCUAGAUAUCAAGAUUCUAAGGACACAAUGUCUAAACUAAAUUACCCAACAAACAGUUUGAAUCAUGAAUAGAAUAUAGUUAACAUAACCCCCCAUGCAAACGGUCAUCACGUAUCAGCUAGUAAGAAAGGAGGGAACAAAUCUUGAUUAACAGAACAAUGGAGCACCAUCUUUAGAGAUUGUACAAACUGUAAAACAAAACAAAAAACGGUCAGAGUAAAAAAACAUGACUGGAUAUAUAUACAGCUGGAUAUCAAGAUUCUCUGGAGAAAUGCUUAAACUAAAAUACUAAUAAAAAAUGAAUCAUGGGCCAUUCAAAAACAACUUCAUAUAGAUAUAUACCCAACAAAGAGUUUGAAUCAUGAAUAUGCAAUGCACAUCGCUGACAUGACCCACCAUGCAAACGAUCAUCAUAAAUACCUUUGGAACCCACAACUCAACAUAAACAUGACAAAGACAAACAUGUAUACCAAAUAGCAUCUGAAAACAUAUCAGGGAAGAUAAUUUUCUGGCAGAACCAAGCAUGCGUAUGCAACUAUCUAAAUAUAUGUGCUAAACAGCCACUGGAAACAUUGCUAUAGAACAGACCGGAUAAAGCAAUUUCCACACAGAACAAUGCAUGCAUGUUUGCACAACCAAUCAAACACAUGUAUAGAAUAUAUACUGACAAACAAUUAGUCUAGAAAGACUAACUAUGCCGGAGCAAGUUGAUCAUGAAACUCCAUACCAAGACAUCUCCAGAUUUUUCCGGAAAUGAGAGUUCAGUAAGCUACUACCUUCAGCCUCCUAACUGAUUUGAGAGCAACAUUUAUUAGUUUUUAGAAACAUGAAAAAAACAUUAGGCACAUUUGAAUAAACAUUUAAGAGAAGGGAACUGCAAAACGAAAUUCAGUAAACAGAAACGCCACUAUAGCUCAUGACUAAAUUGACUCUCUUUCAGUAAAAAGUAGGAAAGUGUAACCACCUUAGUAAAAAUAGAAUGAGCAUGCUACCAUGCCCUUGCGCAGGUUCAAGCUACAUUCGAAGAAGGGACGUCUAUUGAACAAAAACUGGGUCGAUAGUAUUUUGCAAUAGCUAACUAUGCAACUUUUCUCCACGAACAUGAGAUAAUUUAAAUGGCAGGAUCAUGUUUGUUUUCCCCUUAUUUUCAGUUGGAUUGUAAUAACUCAGCAGCAAAGAGUACACCACAGUGGUUUAGUCUACUAAUCUGAUUCAAUUCAAGAAUGGGUAGCCUAUUCUCUUGUAUAUGUCAGCAAGCUCUUUUUUGUACUCAAGUCAAAACUAAGCAUAAAUACCUACUCACCUACAUAAGUUGUUGUUGCACAUGCCCAUGUAUUUGGUGCAAGUUGAGGCCUCCUUUAAGUAACAUUAUGACCACUCUUCAAGUCUUCAUACCUACAAACACCAUCAAAGUAUGAAGUCUAACCGAGGUGGAACCGUGUAAGGACUAAAGAAAGGGAAAGUGUUUGAUUCAUAAGCAAAGAGAGCAAGAGACCGAACUUUCAGAACAUUUAGGUUUAUUAGUAAGGAAACAGUGGUAACAUUUUCUUAGUAAUUAAGCUCGAUGGAAAUAAAGGUACUUUUCAUGUAUGACGCCCAAAAAAAGUUUAAACAUCUUUUCCUUUUGCUGUACCAUGAUCAUACCACAAUGUGAGAUGCAGACAGGGAAAAGUUCAGAUCCAAAAUCAUAUCUCAUAGAUAUGUUUGUACAUUAAGGAAAAGAAAAACAUUACUGGCAUUCUGCAAAAACACAUUAAGAAAUGGAGCUUUUGGACCAGUGAAUUACACUGGUAUUCUCAAAAUACCACAUCUACAAUCU
Molecule: long non-coding RNA, 2023 nt
Filed under: Triticum aestivum (bread wheat)
Lineage: Eukaryota; Viridiplantae; Streptophyta; Magnoliopsida; Poales; Poaceae
Description: long non-coding RNA (TAES_LNC005206)
Source: RNAcentral